GGAAGUUUGGACGGUCGUCGGAGGUUCUGCGAGAACAGAUCCGAGAAGUCCAGAAGCUUGCCAAGCGAAGCUCGUCGGAACUCACCAAGUGGAUCGUCGCAAAGUCCAGGAGUUUGCCGGAAGUCCGCAGGAGCAUCACCGAGGGUUCAUCGGAUGAUCGACGGAAGUUCGACGGAAACUCGCCGGAAGAAGCGAUUGACGCACCGAAGCAAAG
RNAcentral lists this long non-coding RNA (214 nucleotides) under Musa acuminata (dwarf banana). RNAcentral's name for it is "long non-coding RNA (MACU_LNC011169)". Lineage: Eukaryota; Viridiplantae; Streptophyta; Magnoliopsida; Zingiberales; Musaceae. The record is from RNAcentral.